This 253-nucleotide ribosomal RNA is filed under the name uncultured bacterium. Its description in RNAcentral is "partial 16S ribosomal RNA". It matches the Rfam family "Bacterial small subunit ribosomal RNA", at positions 524 to 776 of the family's 1533-position model. The record is from RNAcentral.
UACGUAGGGUGCAAGCGUUGUCCGGAAUUAUUGGGCGUAAAGAGCUCGUAGGCGGUCUGUCGCGUCGGCUGUGAAAACCUGGGGCUCAACCCCGGGCCUGCAGCCGAUACGGGCAGACUAGAAUUCGGUAGGGGAGACUGGAAUUCCUGGUGUAGCGGUGAAAUGCGCAGAUAUCAGGAGGAACACCGGUGGCGAAGGCGGGUCUCUGGGCCGAUAUUGACGCUGAGGAGCGAAAGCGUGGGGAGCAAACAGG